This 261-nucleotide ribosomal RNA is filed under the name uncultured bacterium. Its description in RNAcentral is "partial 16S ribosomal RNA". It matches the Rfam family "Bacterial small subunit ribosomal RNA", at positions 95 to 349 of the family's 1533-position model. The record is from RNAcentral.
GUGGCGGACGGGUGAGUAACGCGUGGGUAACCUGCCUUGUACUGGGGGACAACAGUUGGAAACGACUGCUAAUACCGCAUAAGCGCACAGCUUCGCAUGAAGCAGUGUGAAAAACUCCGGUGGUACAAGAUGGACCCGCGUCUGAUUAGCUGGUUGGUGAGGUAACGGCCCACCAAGGCAACGAUCAGUAGCCGGCCUGAGAGGGUGAACGGCCACAUUGGGACUGAGACACGGCCCAAACUCCUACGGGAGGCCAGCAUG